CAAUGUCAUUUUACAGGGUGGAGGGAGACACUAGCAGGGAAAGGAGAUAUUAGGAAAUGCCUCAGGCAAGAAGUAACAUGUGAACUGGAUGAAAUGAAGAGGGAAUGCAUUCUAAACAUAGGAAUAACAUCUUUGCAAAGACACAGGAAUCACCUAUCAAAAAAACCCUCUUUCAGAUGAAGAAACUGAGUCUUGGGAAAGGUGGCACUGUUGAAGCCAGCUGAGGACUACUUCCCAUCUCACUUCCCACCUCCUUUUUUGGAUUGGAAGGAAAACUGUUGAUGCUCCCAGAUCUUGGAUUUCUUUGAGGAUCACAGCCUUAAAAAUACACAUACUUCUUUGUUGAAGGUUGCGGCUCUUGUCUAAGAUUCCCCAUCAAAAACCAUCCUCCUUACCAAUUUCUGGGUCUCUUUAAAUUGGAAAUUUAACCAGUUACAAUAGGCUCAUUAGUCUAGACAAAAUAAAAAUCUCAGAUUAUGCUUAAAGUUCUGGAUU
RNAcentral lists this long non-coding RNA (495 nucleotides) under Monodelphis domestica (gray short-tailed opossum). RNAcentral describes it as "lncRNA (ENSMODG00000039297.1)". The record is from RNAcentral. Lineage: Eukaryota; Metazoa; Chordata; Mammalia; Didelphimorphia; Didelphidae.